UUCAUUUACUUAUUUAUAUGCCUCUAGGUGGAUCCAUCAGGUUCAUAUUUCUCAUGGAAAGCCUCUGCAAUGGGGAAGAAUGUCUCAAAUGCAAAGACAUUUCUCGAGAAGAGGUACACUGAUGAUAUGGAACUUGAUGAUGCUGUCCACACGGCUAUUUUGACACUCAAGGAGGGAUUUGAAGGGCAAAUCUCUAGCAAAAACAUUGAGAUUGGUAUUAUAGGCACUGACAGAAAAUUCAGGCAAGUUUUGUUUUCAUUUUCUCAUUAAGC
Molecule: long non-coding RNA, 272 nt
Organism: Vitis vinifera (wine grape)
Lineage: Eukaryota; Viridiplantae; Streptophyta; Magnoliopsida; Vitales; Vitaceae
Exons: 3
Source: RefSeq, a predicted model, not a curated record